Molecule: ribosomal RNA, 350 nt
Filed under: Escherichia coli
Lineage: Bacteria; Pseudomonadati; Pseudomonadota; Gammaproteobacteria; Enterobacterales; Enterobacteriaceae
Description: bacterial SSU rRNA
Rfam family: Bacterial small subunit ribosomal RNA
Source: RNAcentral
AAAUUGAAGAGUUUGAUCAUGGCUCAGAUUGAACGCUGGCGGCAGGCCUAACACAUGCAAGUCGAACGGUAACAGGAAGCAGCUUGCUGCUUCGCUGACGAGUGGCGGACGGGUGAGUAAUGUCUGGGAAACUGCCUGAUGGAGGGGGAUAACUACUGGAAACGGUAGCUAAUACCGCAUAACGUCGCAAGACCAAAGAGGGGGACCCUCGGGCCUCUUGCCAUCGGAUGUGCCCAGAUGGGAUUAGCUUGUUGGUGGGGUAACGGCUCACCAAGGCGACGAUCCCUAGCUGGUCUGAGAGGAUGACCAGCCACACUGGAACUGAGACACGGUCCAGACUCCUACGGGAG